UGAGUAAUAUUGGUCAAUGGACGCAAGUCUGAACCAGCCAAGCAGCGUGCAGGAUGACGGCCCUAUGGGUUGUAAACUGCUUUUAUAUGGGGAUAAAGUGGGGAACGUGUUCCCUUUUGCAGGUACCAUAUGAAUAAGGACCGGCUAAUUCCGUGCCAGCAGCCGCGGUAAUACGGAAGGUUCGGGCGUUAUCCGGAUUUAUUGGGUUUAAAGGGAGCGUAGGCCGUUUGGUAAGCGUGUUGUGAAAUGUAGGAGCUCAACUUCUAGAUUGCAGCGUGAACUGUCAGACUUGAGUGCGCACAACGUAGGCGGAAUUCAUGGUGUAGCGGUGAAAUGCUUAGAUAUCAUGAAGAACUCCGAUUGCGGAGGCAGCUUACGGGAGCGCAACUGACGCUGAAGCUCGAAGGUGCGGGUAUCGAACAGG
Molecule: ribosomal RNA, 424 nt
Filed under: Verrucomicrobiota bacterium
Lineage: Bacteria; Pseudomonadati; Verrucomicrobiota
Description: Verrucomicrobia bacterium partial 16S ribosomal RNA
Rfam family: Bacterial small subunit ribosomal RNA
Source: RNAcentral